RNAcentral lists this ribosomal RNA (498 nucleotides) under uncultured bacterium. Its description in RNAcentral is "partial 16S ribosomal RNA". It matches the Rfam family "Bacterial small subunit ribosomal RNA", at positions 29 to 523 of the family's 1533-position model. The record is from RNAcentral.
AUUGAACGCUGGCGGCAUGCUUUACACAUGCAAGUCGAACGGUAACAGGCCGCAAGGUGCUGACGAGUGGCGAACGGGUGAGUAAUGCAUCGGAACGUGCCCAGUCGUGGGGGAUAACGCAGCGAAAGCUGUGCUAAUACCGCAUACGAUCUAUGGAUGAAAGCGGGGGACCGUAAGGCCUCGCGCGAUUGGAGCGGCCGAUGUCAGAUUAGGUAGUUGGUGGGGUAAAGGCCUACCAAGCCGACGAUCUGUAGCUGGGCUGAGAGGACGACCAGCAACACUGGGACUGAGACACGGGCCAGACUCCUACGGGAGGCAGCAGUGGGGAAUUUUGGACAAGGGGCGCAAGCCUGAUCCAGCAAUGCCGCGGGCAGGAAGAAGGCCUUCGGGUUGUAAACUGCUUUUGUACGGAACGAAACGGUCUGGGUUAAUACCCUGGGCUAAUGACGGUACCGUAAGAAUAAGCACCGGCUAACUACGUGCCAGCCGCCGCCGUAA